This is a small nuclear RNA of Nycticebus coucang (slow loris), 103 nucleotides long. Lineage: Eukaryota; Metazoa; Chordata; Mammalia; Primates; Lorisidae. The record is from RefSeq and is a predicted model, not a curated record.
GUGCUCGCUUUGGCAGCACAUCUACUAAAAUUGGAACGAUACAGAGAAGAUUAGCAUGGCCCCUGUGCAAGGAAAAAGUGAAUUGGUUCAGAGGACACUAUUU